This 438-nucleotide ribosomal RNA is filed under the name Triticum aestivum (bread wheat). RNAcentral describes it as "partial small subunit ribosomal RNA". The record is from RNAcentral. Lineage: Eukaryota; Viridiplantae; Streptophyta; Magnoliopsida; Poales; Poaceae.
AUGUACAUCAAGAUUGAGACAAUGAGGCUUGACUGGUACUCAUGGCCAAAAAAUCAAAAGGUUAUACGCGCUGACCUAUACCAGGGUCUUGUUGACACCGUCUAUGCCGGCGAGUCACAUGGUGAUUGGAUUGGCAAGAGAAUUGUGCUUCCACGUACAUUUCCUGGUGGUGACCGUGACAUGCAGCGCAGGUUUCUGGAUGCGAUGGCAAUAGUACAACGAUGGGGUAAACCGGAUUAUUUUAUCACCAUGACAUGCAAUCCCUACUGGGAGGAGAUAACCAAGGAAUUAUUGCCUGGACAACUGCCGCAAGACCGUCCAGACCUUGUGGCAAGAGUAUACAGAGCUAAACAGCGAAGUAUGAUGGACCUACUAAUUAAGGGUAAGCAUUUCGGAGAAGGUGCGACUUAUGUACAUGUCACUGAGUUUCAGAAAUGA